Molecule: non-coding RNA, 30 nt
Filed under: Bacillus smithii 7_3_47FAA
Lineage: Bacteria; Bacillati; Bacillota; Bacilli; Caryophanales; Bacillaceae
Source: RNAcentral
GUUUCAAUUCCUUAUAGGUAAGAUCUAAAC